This 1984-nucleotide long non-coding RNA is filed under the name Salarias fasciatus (jewelled blenny). RNAcentral's name for it is "lncRNA (ENSSFAG00005015735.1)". The record is from RNAcentral. Lineage: Eukaryota; Metazoa; Chordata; Actinopteri; Blenniiformes; Blenniidae.
GGCAGAGAUGUCAUCAGAGUGAAAUAAGGUAAGACAACAAGUCAGUGGGCCAAACAAUGCUCCCUUCGCCCAACGUCUGGACUUAUGUUGUUUUCUCUUAGGAGAUGUUUGCCUGGGCAAUGCGCACAACCCUAUGGAAAGCCGAGUGAGUACUUAUUAUGUGUCCUUGAUAUCCUUGAUAUCACAAGUCAAAAAAGCACACUAGUUAACUCGUGAGCUGCAAAAGCUCUGACAUGUCAACUAGUCUCUGUCUGUUUUCAGUGUUUUUUCCUAAAUAUUUUCAUCUGUUUUCGGUCUGAUUUUAGUAUAUACUGUUGGGCACUUUUUUCCGAGGCUUUUGGGAUAUAUUGUGGCAGUGGAGUGAAAACCUUAACCGUGAUACAUAUUGGGUUGGCACUAGGCCUGGCUAGCAGGUAUUCCAAAAGUCCUGCUGUAGCUACCAGGCUCAGGCCCAGACUCAGCCAUCCAUCCACCCACCAGGCUCAGAUCCAGGCCCUGCUGCAGCCCAUCCACCUGCCCCAGGCCCAGGCCCUCCAGCCUCUGCCCCCUGAGUGUGUGGGCCUGUGUGCUAACAGGCUAGCACACAGGCUGACGACACGGAGCUGAGCAGCUAGCCACCGUGCUACCAGCUACCACCAGGCAGCAGCAGCUAGCCACCAGGCUACCAGCUACCACCAGGCAGCAGCAGCAGCUGGCCACCGGGCUACCAACUACCACCAGGCAGCAGCAACAACUAGCCACCAGGCUACCAGCUGGCACCUGGCAGCAGCAGCAGCUAGCCACCAGGCUACCAGCAGCUAGCCACUGGGCUACCAGCUACCACCAGGCAGCAGCAGCAGCUAGCCACCAGGCUACCAGCUACCACCAGGCAGCAGCAGCUAGCCACUGGGCUACCAGCUACCACCAGGCAGCAGCAGCAGCAGCUAGCCACCAGGCUACCAGCUACCACCAGGCAGCAGCAGCAGCUAGCCACCGGGCUACCAGCUACCACCAGGCAGCAGCAGCAGCUAGCCACCGGGCUACCAGCUACCACCAGGCAGCAGCAGCAGCUAGCCACUGGGCUACCAGCUACCACCAGGCAGCAGCAGCUAGCCACCGGGCUACCAGCUACCACCAGGCAGCAGCAGCUAGCCACCAGGCUACCAGCUACCACCAGGCAGCAGCAGCUAGCCACCGCGCUACCAGCUACCACCAGGCAGCAGCAACUAGCCACCGGGCUGCCAGCUACCACCAGGCAGCAGCAGCAGCUAGCCACCGGGCUGCCAGCUACCACCAGGUAGCAGCAGCUAGCCACCGGGCUACCAGCUACUACCAGGCAGCAGCAGUUAGCCACCGGGCUACCAGCUACCACCAGGCAGCAGCAGCAGCUAGCCACCGGGCUACCAGCUACUACCAGGCAGCAGCAGCAGCUAGCCACCAGGCUACCAGCUACCACCAGGCAGCAGCAGUUAGCCACCGGGCUACCAGCUACCACCAGGCAGCAGCAGCUAGCCACCGGGCUACCAGAUACCACCAGGCAGCAGCUAGCCACCAGGCUACCAGCUACCACCUGGCAGCAGCAGCAGCUAGCAUCCUCUCAAACUCUCUGACUGAUUGUAUGAAAUCUGAUGUAUUGUAUCUUGACUUGUCAGAUCAUCUAGCUAUUUUUCAGUUUUCUGAAAUCAAGACAAACAAAGCUAAAAACACUAAAGAAAAAUUUUCGAAAAGAAUAAUGAGCGAAAAAAAUAUUUCUAAGUUUAAAAGCAGGCUUGACUCCAAAUCCUGGGAUAACCUAUACGAGGAGAACAAUGCUGAGUUAGCAUAUCAAAAAUUAAUGGAUGUAUUUAGCUCUUGUUUUGAGGAAUGUUUUCCUGUAACAUGUCUUGUAAAGAAACACCAUUCAGAUUUCAAAAACCAUGGUUUUCACCUGAUUUGUUGAAGUUGUUGAAGAAAAAAAAAGACAAAUUAUAUAAAAGAUAUGUCAACAAUCCCACUCCUCUUAAUC